Molecule: ribosomal RNA, 173 nt
Filed under: Pithecopus azureus
Lineage: Eukaryota; Metazoa; Chordata; Amphibia; Anura; Hylidae
Description: partial 16S ribosomal RNA
Source: RNAcentral
ACGUGAUCUGAGUUCAGACCGGAGAAAUCCAGGUCAGUUUCUAUCUAUAAAGAGUCUUUCCCAGUACGAAAGGACCGAAAAGACAAGGCCUAUAUAUUCUACAAGCCUUACUUAUUAACCUAUGUACCAAACUCAAUAGUACAAUUAGCUAACAUAAAAUUUAAGAUAAGAAA